Passer domesticus (house sparrow) is the source of this 9319-nucleotide long non-coding RNA. RefSeq lists it as uncharacterized. The record is from RefSeq and is a predicted model, not a curated record. The transcript is spliced from 6 exons. Lineage: Eukaryota; Metazoa; Chordata; Aves; Passeriformes; Passeridae.
CCACACACUUGCCUGUGUAGGACACAAACAAUCCUUGAGCAGACCUAGGGAAGAUGCAAAUAAGGGCAGAAUGAGUCUCAGAAAAGUGCCCUUAAAUAGUCUGAGUGUUUCUGAGAGAAUAUCUGCUAGAACUACAGGGAGCAGUGGCUUCUCCUAGAUGACAAUGGAGUUGUAGAAGUUAAAAGGCUUUAAAAGGUUUAGAGUGCUUCUGCUGUCUCAGGAGAUGUGAAGAAGACACACUCCAAAAGAAAAAAAAGAAGGAAAAAAAAAAGAAAAAAAGAAGAAGAAAAAAAAAAGAGACAACUUUCUCUGCUACCCACCUGAACACUGAGUCUUCAGCUGUGAGAAGAGACUUCAGAGCAAGACCUCUACAGACUAAAGGGUUCAUAAAGGAGUUCACUGAUACCUUGUUGACAAUGGUGAUGAAAUACCCUGACUUGUCAUCCUGGGAGAUUUCAACACACACAUCGACGAGGCUGCAGAUAUGAAGUCCCACAAACUCACCUCCUGGCUUUCCUCCCAAACACUCUCUGGGUAUUUCUACAUCGACAUUUACAGUCAGCCUCAAGGGGUCCCUGUCACUGGCUCUGAGUGGCAUGUGUCACCCUGACAGGAAUUUUCAGUGAGCUGCAUGCAGGGUUUACUGAAGUUCCCUACUUGCGGUCAGUUCCAAGAAGAGGUCAGAAUCCAGAUCACAGGGUGUGGUUGUGCUGAAUUCCUCUGCCCAAUGCCCGCAAACAUGCUGAGGAGAGGGUGAUAGAAUGAGUGAGAGGAUAAAAGAUGGAUCUGAGCUCCAGCAGAUUUCCUGGCUUUAGCUAUAUUUGGGAGCCACGGUGUAGGUGUUUAUUUGGUAUAAGCACAAUGAUGACCUUAGGGUUACUCUUGCUAUCAGUGUUGAUCAUCUUCUCUCAUUUAAUCCAUAUGCUCUUUGAUUUGAUGUAUACUGAACAAGAAGAGUGUGGACCAACUGCAAGGGAUGUCUUGAACCUGGGGUAAGCAAAACAUUUGGUCUCCGCAAGUGGGCCAGAGCAGACUAGUUCAGACAGGGUUAUCAGAGGAGGUGCCAAGCUGGGUGCAGGGGAUGGUAGGAUGCAGUGCUCUGAAGGCAUGUGAAUACUGGUGGGACUCAGGGGACUUCUAGCUCUGAUUUAGCUUUUAUCAGAUUCUCUCCUAGCAUGCCCCUGGAAGGGCAGCACUGCACAGCUGGGCCAAGGUGCUGAGGAUUAGGGAAGUUCCUCCUGUCAUGCAUGCAUCCCUUAAGGUUCUCUACCUAGUCCCCAGAAGCAUCUCAUUCCCUUCACCCUCACAGAGUGCCUCAGAGCUGUUAUCCUGCUGGACUGGAGAGAUAAGGAAGCCAUGGCAGGAACCAGGAUAGCAACACUGAAAAAACAACAUCUGUCUUGGUGUAUCUGGUUCUGUCCUUGGUGACACUGCAUGAGAGGCCCAGGAGACUUCCUGAGCUGUAACAACAAAGCUCCAAACACCUCUGUAUCCUCUGGCAGGGAUACUUCCAGCCAAAGUGGCCACAGGGAACAGCCAGCAAUCAUGUUGCUGAGAACCAUGGAGGAUGACUCAAGGGAUUCACUAAAGCCCAAACUGCCUGUCAAACCAAGAGUGGGCGAGGAGCAGUGGAGGCUUGUUACCUUUUUGAAAUUUGUUUUCUUUGUUUUCAAAUCAUGUGCAACCUUUGGGAGAUGUUUCUUGGCAAAAAAAGCAAGUUAUGCUCCUGCCCACACAAGCUCUGAUAGAUAAAUUUGAGUUGAAAUUGAAACACUCAGUUUUAGACUUUGUUUUUUUCCUCUCUCUCUCCAGAUUAGACAGUGAAAUAGUGGACAUGAUUUUCUUGCCUUUGGCUUUUCUGCUCUCUGUUUUUGUUUCCUAAUGAACAGCCAUAGAUCCUCGAUGCUAUCCUGCUACUGUAGGAAAAGCUGGACAGGACCAAACCUAGUUGUUGAAAUAAUGAUGAAGAAAAUGUCCCUUUGCUUUCUGUUGACAGAGGUAGCUCAUUGCUAGUCAGUUAGGCCUUUGACAUGAUCAUCAAAAUAAAGCUGUUAACGUAAAUAGAGACAUGUAUUUUAAAAAUUACUUGCUAGAAAACUCACAGCCAUCAUUCCCAAAAUCAGUGAAUCUUGUCUCACAGGUGCAGUUACCACAAACUUUUUUAGUGUUUUUAUAUUCAUCCAAGCAUAACAGAACUUGACUCUAGAUCACAUACCUUCUGUUACUGAAAUCUGAGUAAUGCAUUAAGUAAUGGACGAAUCUGUCUGGAUUGACUAAUGUGGUUACAGGAUUUCAUCCUGAUUUGAGAUGCAUGAAUCAGGGAUGAGAAGAGCCAGUUUUAAUAAAAUGCAGAUACCCCUUGGGGACCCUAGGCUGAGGGGGCUCUUUGGGUGCCCACACUCCCCACCUGCACGUGCCACUGACCCACCUCCCUGCCUUCUUUUUUUCUCUCUCCCUCACUUUUUUUUUGUCAUUUUUUCCUGGAGCAUUGCCUAAAGGAAUGAAUUAAGGCUGUUAGGGUCCAGGUUGAUGUUGUGAUGUUUAUAGCCCCAACAGCGUGAUGAUUGUUUUAUGGUGUUUGUGUUUUGGCAUCAGUGAUGCCGUGAUGUUUGCGCUGCGAUGUUGUCAUCUGGGGAGGGCAGGGCCAUGGCUACAUUACAUCUAUGUAUCCCAUACGUGGUGUAAAAUGCACAUAUAAAUCACACAGAUGCUGAGUUCCUGGGGCGUGGGAUAGGGGGCCCUCAUCCCCCAAGCAAGUGCUCGUGAGGAACAAGUGCGCAGCCAGGCGUGAAAUGGCUGAGGGUGGCUUGCAAACCCAGCAGCCUGCCAGGAUGGCCAGCACUGCAUGAUACCAUGCAAUCUUCUGUCAAAAGAAAUGCCAGAUAUUGGACUAAAAGUAUGUAGCUCUUGCCUGUGUCUUCAGACAACUCUCCUUAGCAACGUGGAAGUGGGCUUUGGGGCCAGGAUGCAUGGUCUGGAAUUGCUGGUGUUCCUGUGUAGGCGUAGAGGUGGGCACUGAAAUUUCCUCAGAGUGGUGUGGUAUUUAUGGAUGAAGCCCUUGUCCAGGAGAACUUCCUGCUCUGCUCCUACGGGGCCUCUCACAGGGGCUGCUGGAGCCAAAGCAGAGUGACAGAGCAGACCAGGAGAAACAGCAGUGUAGCCACUGCCAUUCACCAGAGGGAAGGCGUUUCACAGGAAAUGUCCUCAUUACUUGCUGCUCACAAAUAAAUCACAAUUUGAUUUUUGGGAGCAAUUUCCCUCUGAGCUAAAGACUACUCUGAUGCCUGCUCUUUCCCAAUAUAUCUUUCAGCAGCUGAAGUGCAGCUGAAGACAUCAUAAUGCAAAUUGAAAUACUUUUCUGCUCUCAUCCAUCAGAGAUGGUACUGCUUCCCUGCAUAUCUUGUGGACCUUUAAGUUGAGUGUGAACUAUGUUUCUGUCUCAGUGAUCACAUGUGAGAACUGCACAUUUCAUGAUCUCUUCCCCCCCGUUACUAUUGUUAUCAAACUUUUGUCACCAGUUGCUGUUUCAUUCACCAAUGUGUAAUCUGUAAAUGCCAGACCCCUGGUCCCAUCCACAGAGCAGAUCUAAAUGUCCUUCUUUAGCUAAACUGUGUUUUUUGCUUGAUCUGUCAGCACUCUUACUGCAUGUGCUCCAACAAACCAAGUGCCUUUGUUCUCCUAAAGCAAUCCUGCCUCAGGCUAUCCUUCCAGUAGAACAUUAGUUCUUUUGUUUGGAUAAAAGGGUGUCAUCACUCACUCAUGAUGAGAAUAUGAUUCAGCCCCUUCUCCUCACAUUCACGGUCCAGUCUUCAUAAAUACUUGCUUUUACAGCAUAUUGUAUGUGUAUUCAAAUGGCUGACAUCAGUGGGCCAAAUUGUGCCCUAACAUGAAUGUGCUCCAGUCCUGCUGUUCAUGUUGGAGGAAUUGUGGGGAGCCUAAAUCAGAAGAAAGUAUGAUCUGUACCCAGUCCCAUUUAGAUGUUUGUUUGGUUUUUUUUAAUGGCAUUAAUAUUUUUAAAUAAAAUGUUUCCUGAUCUGAAAAAAGGAGGUUUAAACAGCAGCCCACUAAAGUAGAUGUGAUUUUUUUCCCACCUGCUUUGCUGAACUUUCAGUCCAUGCUACCAAGAAACCUCCUUAGUGUUGCUAUUGUCAUGUCAGCUUCACAUAGAUAGGCAAAAUUUUGGAUGCUCAAUUGAAUUUACUAGAGGCACACUUCUGAAACUUCCCCAUUAUGUGUUCCUUCUUCUUUACUGAACUAAGUAUCUAACUACUGCAAUUUCUCUUCUAGGAAGCUGUAUUUGGGCAGGAAUACUACUGAAAGACAGUGAACAAUAAUAAUAAUAAUAACAAUAAUAAUAAUAAUAACAACAACAAAAACAACAUCAACGUCCACUAGAAAUUCUUGCUCUGCUCCUGAAACUUCAGAUUUGUUAUUAUGUCUGUAAAGCAGGGAGUGGUGAGUACAAUAAUUUCUCUUUGCUCUGAGGUUCCACCACUUUCUGAUUUUCCAAAUCAGAGCUGUACAUGAACAGUAUAAAGUGUAUGGACUGUGUCCCAAACUGGAUCUCUGCCAUUUCAAGGGAGAACUGAGGAUGUGAAAAGACUUCUAAAAUGUAUAAAAAUACUUGGAUUGCAUUGAUUUAGCUUCAUGCUAGGUUUAUUUAAUGAUAGUGAGGGUGUGGUGUAAAUCCCUAUAGUUUGGUUUUUUUUUUUUCCUGGGCAAAACCUCCUAAAAUUCACUGCAAUCGAGCUGAAAGAUAUGGAGAGAUACAGGAUACAAGUGACUUUAAAAUAAUUCCUCACAACAUCUGUUAACACUGAGACGAGCUAAUGUUGCUUUAUUUCAUGAACUAAGGAAGUGGAAAAGAGCCUUAAGGAAAACACAUUAGGAUAAGCUUAAGGAAGAACGUAGAGCAUAUGGUGGCACAUGGAUAAGCAGGCCUGGAUUACCUUGGUUAAUAACUCACCCAACACACUGCUUUUCUAAUCUCUUAAUUUCCAUAUUUACCUUAAAGUGCUUUAAACAAGAGUUUGCCAGACCUAACUGUAGCUAUUCAGUGUAUUAGAAAGUUUUUGAUUGGUGUGAAAGGAUUUGUGAUUAGCCAGACAUUUCAUGGCCCUCUUGGUAAUGUGUUAAGAAGCCUUCCUGACAUCAAAAUUUAUUUUAAAGGAAAGCUUGUCCUAACAGUCAGAAAAGCCUCUAAAAGCUCAUCUGUUACGCCUUGAUAACUUUUUAGAAGCUACUCCAAUAUCCAUUGAAGAAGCAGAAAGGCGCCCAGUGAUUUCAGGAUACAUUUUAUCAGAACACUUAAGCAAGGAGUUGGCUAAAGUGAGUAUCUGCUUUAAAGAUGUUAACAUUCACAGGACUGUACAACAUCCAUGAAUGAUGUGUUCUAGUAUCUAUUCAGUUUAUUAAGUAAAAGUAUUUUUCAUAAAUCUACUCUCAACAUUACCAGGACAAAGAGAAUUUUCAGUUCUGAGCUUGUCUUAGAAGGCAGUCAGUUUGUUGUUAGUUAAUUUGAUUGGAAAAUUAAUGGGGCACAUUACUGGAUGAAGGGUGUGACUUUAUCGUUCUGUCUCUUCAUUGCUGAAUGACAUAUUGGAUACCUUAUGUGGAAAAUGAUGGCAAAAAGGUGAAGUUAUUCAGCAAUUAUUUUUCUUUUUUCAUUGUUGGUCUUUCUGACUCUGACAGAUAGCAACAUAUCUGCUGUAUGAAUCUUAACUUUUCCUCUCCAGAAAGGGUGAUGGGACUUUAUGGGAAUUCUUGCCUGUAAGUGUCAUCAUGAAAACAGGACCUGCAAAGCUUUCUCUGUGAUUCACCACAACAAAAGAUCUUUUGUUUCAAAAGCCAGACAAGACUGGUAUUGGGCUGCAUACUUGAGUAACACGUCAUGUACAAAACCAACCACUUAAAAUCAUGGAAAAUUCAGGACAUCAUAAAUCUUAUACCAACUGCAUCAUUUUAUUUAUUCAAUUUUUUUCAGAUAUUUAAAAUAAACAAAAUGUGUUCCUUCAUAGGCUGUAAGCACUCUGCCAAUUUAGAACUGCAAAACCGAAAUGCAAUAUAAUUGACUCACUGCUUCUACCAAACUGAAGUAAAUAAACACUGGAGCCCCAUUCAUCAACCAGUCCUCUUAAGGCUCCUCAAAGAGCAGAUCCAACACAUGGGUCUUGUAGCAUGUCUAAAAGUCAACAAAUACAGGUGGUGUCAGACUACAGGAAGGGAUUUAUGAAGCCCUGAAAGAUUUUUGUAUUUUGCUGGCUAUACCUUCCCUAUUAUAUUGAAGGGAACAUAAUCCAGUCUCACUGUUUCUAAUGCCUGCAUCUCUGAGAGAUACAUGACCAAGUAUUUGUCUUAGGAAAGAUCUUCCCUGGAGGCUCUGAGCUUCCUGUGCCCAAACCAUCAUAUUCAAAUAAGUCAGGCCACUCAAAAGGGGCCGACCUGGGUCCCAGAGCAGAGAUGCACAUCCCAGGUGUGUGAUUGCCUUCUGUACCACAACCUGCUUCCAAUUAAAUUGCAAUGCAGGCCAUGUGAAGGAUGUGCUGCAGGACUAAGCCAGAAAUUACAAAAACACAGAUGAUGAGUGCAAGUUAUCCAUCUGAAAGUAAUGACUGUGAACACUGAGGCAGGCACAUGCAAUGGAAUCUCUGAGAAUCACUGUCAGAAGUGAAUGUGGCCCCAUUGAAGGGAGAGGACCAUCUAGAAAAGAGGGCCUUUGUAUGAAUGCUGUGCUGGAGGACCAGAAGAGGAUGGCACUGCGUAGCAGAAGCAAUUACAGACCUCAAGGGACUUGGAGAAACUGAGGAGGUCUUAAACCACUGGUCUUGUUAAGUUUCAUUACCCUGGAUUCAAAGAAAAAGACUGUGAUGACAGGUAGUGAUGAAUUUGUUAGGUGGCCUUCUGGGACAUACAUUUGGAUCCCUAAAGCAGAGGGAGGCAACCUGAAGAGAGUGGCUGGGAUGUAACACACAGACGGGUGCUGCAAGCUGACCACAUUUGGAGAUGGAAGGAUGGCUUUGAGGAUGUUUGUCUACCUUCUCCAAGAAGAGAAGCAGACAAAGGAUGUGAUCUAGUCCAACUGCUGGAAUAUGAAACUGGGCAGCCAGAGACAAGAAGAAAGCAACAUAUUUUUAAACAAAAAGGAGAAAUGAAUGGCAGUGGAACUUCUGGGACCCCCUCUUUGCACCUUGGCAAGAUGUUCAACUGCUUUGUGAAAACCAGCAGCUGCUUAAGACCCACAAGGACCAUCAGAAUGUACACCUUAAAUCCACAGAAACAACCUACUGGGAGGAUCUCUGAAAAGAGGCUUUCAUCUCUGCCCAUUUUGUCAACAUCCUCCAGAAAACAGGAGUCAACUGACAGAGUGACACUGUUGGAGAGGAAGCUUAUCUUCAUCAUGAGAUGAGGGAGCUGCUCCACCUGCCUUCCAGGGAAACAAGCAAUUGAUGCAGUCCACAGAUGGGUGGCUAGGACACCUUCAUGGAAGUGGAUGAUACGGAAUCUGACCACCCAAAGAGCAAGGGAACUUACCUCUUCCUUGUACUUUGAGGAAAUCACAGGGUAACUGCUAAGCUGUUGCAUUUAAGAUUCUCAACACUGCCCCUCCUAAUGAAAGCAUCUCCAUCUUUCAUGAUUAUCAGGAAACUGUAAGUGUGCUUUGAAUAUAUUUACUGGAUCCAGCCUCCUUGAACUGAGGUACAAGUCAUGAAUCUCACAGUCUUUGGCAGAGAUGGAGAAAAAGUAUUUGGCUCAGCCAGUAUCAUGGUUCCAUUGGGCACGCUUUGUAGCAGAAAUGUUGACGCCAAACUAAGCUUUCCUGUGCAAACUUAAGCGCUUACAGACUCUCAGACAUCUAAAGGAUUAAGAAAAUCCUUUGUGGAUCACAUAUUUGGACAUGGGUGACUAAAUUCUGCCUAAAGUGCUUGAGAAGUUGGUUUGUGCACAUUGUAAUUUUCCAGUUCCUUCCAACUAACCCUUUGGUGUUAUAUUGGUGAUAAUUACUUCUCUGUCUCUGAGUGUCUGUCUCAAAGGAAUCGGUCUUCUCAGUAGCACAACUUUUUGCGCAACUGGUAGAAACCAUCUUCUCUCUCAAACCACCUCACUGAUUAAAAUAACCAAAUUCAGAGCAAUUGUUCGCAUUCCAGAUUUAGUUCUGAAGCUUGCUGCCUCCCUUUCUGAAGUAAUGAAUGACUCCUGCACCUCAUCUGUUUUCUCCCAUCCAUUUCAGCUGGUGUGAUGCAAGAUGUUUUUUCUUUGUAUCAGCUUUACCUUGUUUCUAGGACAGCAUUACAUGUACCACAGGAUUCAGCCUCUGGGAAAGACAUAUCCAAUGUCACUGAGUGUUCUCAACAGCUCAAAGGGAAACCAAGUACUUUGUCUAACUGUGUACCUCUUGAAACCAGAAGACAAAUAUGCUGAACCUGUGAGAAAAGAGAAGUGAGUUUUCUACCACUGAUGGAGAACUGAAGAGCUGUUUAGGUAGAGAUAGUUAUUACAGUCCUGCUGCUCAGCCACUGUGCUCCCCAUAGAAAAAACUCUGCAGCUGUUCUGCUAUUUUUCAUGUAAGACUGACUCCUUUUCUAGCUGGUUGUACCCUGGGGGAGCUGCUGCAGGAGUUUUGCCAGCUAGAGCAAGAUUUGGGAGGGUGAAGGCCAGCUCCUCAUUAGGAGCAGGCAGGCAGUGAAGACUACUUGUUUCAAAGAAGUAUGAUGAGCAAUGAAAUAUCCAUGGCAAGAUUCAUCCUGGCUAGCUGCUGAUGUCAAGAGUAGAAGUUCACACCUGUGUUAGUCUUCUAGCUCUCCCAAAAGCCUAUAGAGACCUAGUUCUGAUUAGAUUUAGAGGAAAUGUGUCCAAAAGCAUCUGUUUCUCCCCUCUGCCCCAAUGCCAAAAAAGCCCUGUUCUAUAUAGGUCAGACAUAAACAUCUACAUCCACCUCAGCAGGUGCUUGAUGAAGAUGAGGUGGGUGGGAGUCUCUUAGCUGAGUCUGGCUACACCCAUAGAACUUGACUCAGUGUGUACAAUGUGCUGCUGCUCCAGAAAGGGAGAGCAGAUGUCCCCAACACAUUCGCUUUGCUGCCUGCUCUUGCGCCAGAAGGGUGGUGGCACAUCUGCAUUUCUUCCCAGUCACAUCUGGCUGAGAUGUGGCAACAGACUCUCUGCACAAGGUACCGCCCAAGGGCUAUGAGGGGAAGACUCUGCUGCAGCAUUUGAAGCAAGGGUGGGCAGCAAGAGACAUAUCCCUCUUUGUCUCAUUUUGUUUUCACCCACACGGCACGUAGCUGCUUACAGAACGAGAUCCGGCCCUCUAGGAAGUACACAU